CGCGGCGCGGGGCAGCGCUGAAAGUUGGGCGGCCCGCGGGGAGCGGCGCGGGACGGGCCCGAGGCGCGGAGACCCGGAGACCAACGGACAGACCCACCGGCAGCCGGGGAGGGGGGGCGGCGCCGGCCCGCCGAGUUCGCGGGGAGGGGGCGCCGGGACUCCCCUCUCCCCGCCCGGGACGCCGCCCGCCCGAUCGCGCCGUGGGAUGUAGAGCCCGCUCGCCGCCUCCUGGACCUUCGUCGGACCCUCCGCCCCGCGGAAAGCCCCAAGGAAAGAGAGGUCUGAAUGAGCCCCUGAGCAGGGAAACUUCCCUGCCUCCCCACCAGCGUCAACAUCACACUUCUGCCUCCAGUGCCUAGGCUCUAAGAUGGGGCGACAAUGCGGGGAGAUGGUAGGUGGGAGUGUGGUGGAGGGACUAGAGGCAGGGCAUCCUGGCUAAGACGGCAAGCAGGGCCUCGAGACCAGUAGGAUGCUGAGCAGCAGGUUGAGGGAACGGGGAGCUGAGGGACGGAGGUCCCAGGGCCAUGCACCGCA
Molecule: long non-coding RNA, 534 nt
Filed under: Zalophus californianus (California sea lion)
Lineage: Eukaryota; Metazoa; Chordata; Mammalia; Carnivora; Otariidae
Description: lncRNA (ENSZCAG00015013934.1)
Source: RNAcentral